UUGUGAUGGCCUUCAGUCACUGGCCAGUCUUCCUCGGGGCCAAGGCUUCACACCCACCACCCUCUGCCCGGAACACUCUUCAGUUGUCACCUGUCACCUUGGCUCAAACAUCCCUCCUCAGAGAAGCUUCUCUGAGUCCCUGGCCGAGCUGCCUGCUCACUCCUUCUCCCCCAUCCUUCCGUUUCAUGCAAAUCCCUUUUAUUUCUUAAUGGCCUCACAGCAGGAUUAUGCGUAACAUCAGUCUCCCCCACUUCCUAAGAGCAGCAAGUCUUGACUUGCCUGCUUCAUGGCCCCAGCACCAGGACAGCUACCAAGGCCCAGAAGCUGCUCAGUUUCACCCUCAAUGACUACAUGGCAAUAGGACAGUACUUGGCUGCCUUCCCCUCUGGUGGGAGAAGAGCAUUUCCAUCCAGGACCAGGAAGCACCCGAUUCCAGAGAAUGAAGCACACCCAGCAGAAGAGACAGCUUGCAGCAUAAAAGACUUCAGUUAGACUCAAGGAGGAACCACGUGGCCAUCAAUGACUUCUCCCAAGGAGGCCUACUGCUCCCCAACUCCCACCUCUGCUCUAAAUGCCACCACGGUCAGCUCUCCUCCAGGAAUUAAAAUGACACCACUGAUACUUCCAUCAAGCAGCAGAUGAAGCUGAGAGCCACCAAACAGCCUCACACUCAUCCAGUGCCCUCUGCCGCGUUCACUCCCAUCUCCAGCACCAGGAAGGCUUUCUGAACUGCCCCUGGCACAUCCCACCAUGGGUGUCAUCCCCCACAGAGCCCACCAGGCAGGGGAGCUGGGGGCUGGCCUUCAAUGGCAUCCCUGUGGCCCAAAGUAAUCACGUGAAUGAGUGAAACUGGAAAGAUAUUUAAAGGACAGUAACAAUAGAUCAAUCCUGCUGGUGUCUACGCUGUGAACAUAAAAUAGGUGAGAGAGGUGGAAGUUUAGCCCAGGGCCCAGAACACAACAGGCACUCAGAAAUUGCAGCCCUGUCUGGGUUGCCUCAGAGCUUCUAGAAGGUUAAUGAGGAAGCUCAUGGAGGCUGUAGAAGCUCCCUUGGGCCAGGAAGAGGGGGCGCUGACUCUGAGGAGCACCCAUUAGAGAAGCAGACCCCACCCACUGCCAGACCCUUGCCUGGCUGGGUCACUCCCUGGUCACUCCUGUUGAGUCAUACCCUCCCUGACUCCCAGAAGAACAAGAAAAAUGGGACACCUACAAAGUCCCCUUGGGUACUCCUGCGCUGAGGCCACACACCUUCCAUGUAAUCUAAGG
This is a long non-coding RNA of Talpa occidentalis (Iberian mole), 1265 nucleotides long. RefSeq lists it as uncharacterized. The record is from RefSeq and is a predicted model, not a curated record. Lineage: Eukaryota; Metazoa; Chordata; Mammalia; Eulipotyphla; Talpidae. The transcript is spliced from 3 exons.